CCAAUAGCGUAUAUUAAAGUUGUUGCAGUUAAAAAGCUCGUAGUUGAAUUUCGGGGUUCUACCGUUGGUCGGGCUUUGUCUGUACUGGCGUGUAGAAUUUCUACCUUCUGGGGAACCAUCAUGUUAUUAAUUUAACGUGGUGGGAAACCAGGACCUUUACCUUGAAAAAAUUAGAGUGUUCAAAGCAGGCUUGUGUCUGAAUACAUUAGCAUGGAAUAAUAAAAUAGGACGGUGGUCCUGUUUUGUUGGUUUCUGAAUCACCGUAAUGAUUAAUAGGGAUAGUUGGGGGCAUUAGUAUUCAAUUGUCAGAGGUGAAAUUCCUGGAUUUAUUGAAGACUAACUUCUGCGAAAGCAUUUGCCAAGGAUGUUUUCAUUAAUCAAGAACGAAAGUUAGGGGAUCGAAGACGAUCAGAUACCGUCGUAGUCUUAACCAUAAACUAUGCCGACUAGGGAUCGGACGAUGUUAAUUUUUCUUGACUCGUUCGGCGCCUUACG
RNAcentral lists this ribosomal RNA (495 nucleotides) under uncultured Glomeromycotina. Its description in RNAcentral is "partial small subunit ribosomal RNA". It matches the Rfam family "Eukaryotic small subunit ribosomal RNA", at positions 591 to 1092 of the family's 1831-position model. The record is from RNAcentral. Lineage: Eukaryota; Fungi; Glomeromycota.